GCAAGUCGAACGUGAAACUUAGGUUGAUUACUUCGGUUUGAUACCUUUGUGGAUAGUGGCGAACGGGUGAGUAACACUUUGGUGACCUGCCCCGGAGUGGGGGAUAACCAUUAGAAAUGAUGGCUAAUACCGCAUGGUCCUAUUUGUAUGAGAAUACUGAUAGGUAAAACUCUGGUGCUCUGGGAGGGGCCCGCGGUCGAUUAGUUAGUUGGUGGGGUAAAGGCCUACCAAGGCAAUGAUCGAUAGCUGGUCUGAGAGGACGAUC
Molecule: ribosomal RNA, 265 nt
Filed under: uncultured bacterium
Lineage: Bacteria
Description: partial 16S ribosomal RNA
Rfam family: Bacterial small subunit ribosomal RNA
Source: RNAcentral